ACACACACACACACAACACACAUACACACAACACACACACACACAACACACACACACAACACACACACACACAACACACACACACACACACACACGUACUCGACUAGCAACACUUCUCUGUACCCCCAAGCAGUUCCAGAGACCCAUUCCUGCUUCACGCUUCAACUUAGGCACUAUCUUCAUCAUCCUCCUCCUAAGGAUGAAGAGUAUUUACCUGCAUGCCAGGCUACGUCUACCUACUAAUAAAUGUCUCUUAGAUGAUGUCAUUACUGUUUAUCCUCUCUGGGUUGAAGGUAGGGUGAGACUGUCAUUACUGUAUCUCCUCUCUGAGUUGAAGGUAGGGUGAGACUGUCAUUACUGUUUCUCCUCUCUGGGUUGAAGGUAGGGUGAGACUGUCAUUACUGUAUCUCCUCUCUGAGUUGAAGGUAGGGUGAGACUGUCAUUCUCUCUGGGUUGAAGGUAGGGUGAGACUGUCAUUCUCUCUGGGUUGAAGGUAGGGUGAGACUCAUUCUCUCUGGGUUGAAGGUAGGGUGAGACUGUCAUUCUCUCUGGGUUGAAGGUAGGGUGAGACUGUCAUUACUAUAUCUCCUCUCUGGGUUGAAGUUGGGAUGAGACUGUCUUUACUGUUUCUCCUCUCUGAAUUGAAGGUAGGAUGAGACUGUCAUUACUAUAUCUCCUCUCUGGGUUGAAGAUAGGAUGAGACUGUCAUUACUGUUUCUCCUCUCUGAGUUGAAUGUAGGGUGAGACUGUCAUUCUCUCUGGGUUGAAGGUAGGGUGAGACUGUCAUUACUGUUUCUCCUCUGGGUUGAAGGUAGGAUGAGACUGUCAUUACUAUAUCUCCUCUCUGGGUUGAAGAUAGGAUGAGACUGUCAUUACUGUUUCUCCUCUCUGAGUUGAAGUCAGGGUGAGACUGUCAUUACUAUAUCUCCUCUCUGAGUUGAAAGUAGGGUGAGACUGUCAUUCUCUCUGGGUUGAAGGUAGGGUGAGACUGUCAUUACUGUUUCUCCUCUGGGUUGAAGGUAGGGUGAGACUGUCAUUACUGUUUCUCCUCUCUGAGUUGAAGGCAGGGUGAGACUGUCAUUACUAUAUCUCCUCUCUGAGUUGAAAGUAGGGUGAGACUGUCAUUCUCCUCUCUGGGUUGAAGGUAGGGUGAAACUGUCAUUACUAUAUCUCCUCUCUGAGUUGAAGGUAGGGUGAGACUGUCAUUACUGUUUCUCCUCUCUGGGUUGAAGUUAGGAUGAGACUGUCAUUCUCUCUGGGUUGAAGGUAGGGUGAGACUGUCAUUCUCCUCUGGGUUGAAGGUAGGGUGAGACUGUCAUUCUCCUCUGGGUUGAAGGUAGGGUGAGACUGUCAUUCUCUCUGGGUUGAAGGUAGGGUGAGACUGUCAUUCUCUCUGGGUUGAAGGUAGGGUGAGACUGUCAUUCUCCUCUCUGGGUUGAAGGUAUGGUGAGACUGUCAUUACUGUUUCUCCUCUUUAGGUUGAAGGUAGGGUGAGACUGUCAUUACUGUUUCUCCUCUGGGUUGAAGUUAGGACGAGACUGUCGUUACUGCUUCUCCUCUCUGGGUUGAAGUUAGGACGAGACUGUCAUUACUGUUUCUCCUCACUGGGUUGAAGGUAGGGUGAGACUGUCAUUACUUUUUCUCCUCUGGGUUGAAAGUAGGAUGAGACUGGCAUUACUGUUUCUCCUCUCUGGGUUGAAGAUAGGAUGAGACUAUCAUUACAUUUUCUCCUCUGGGUUGAAAGUAGGAUGAGACUGUCAUUACUGUUUCUCUCUGGGUUGAAGGUAGGGUGUGACUGUCAUUACUGUAUCUCCUCUCUGGGUUGAAAGUAGGAUGAGACUGUCAUUACUGUUUCUCUCUGGGUUGAAGGUAGGAUGAGACUGUCAUUACUGUUUCUCCUCUCUGGGUUGAAAGUAGGAUGAGACUGUCAUUACUGUUUCUCUCUGGGUUGAAAGUAGGAUGAGACUGUCAUUACUGUUUCUCUCUGGGUUGAAUGUAGGAUGAGACUGUCAUUACUGUUUCUCCUCUCUGGGUUGAAGGUAGGAUGAGACUGUCAGUACUGUUUCCCCUCUCUGGGUUGAAAGUAGGAUGAGACUGUCAUUACUGUUUCUCUCUGGGUUGAAGGUAGGAUGAGACUGUCAUUACUGUUUCUCCUCUCUGGGUUGAAGGUAGGAUGAGACUGUCAUUACUGUUUCUCCUCUCUGGGUUGAAGGUAGGGUGAGACUGUCAUUACUGUUUCUCCUCUCUGGGUUGAAGGUAGGGUGAGACUGUCAUUACUGUUUCUCUCUGGGUUGAAGGUAGGGUGAGACUGUCAUUACUGUUUCUCCUCUCUGGGUUGAAGGUAGGGUGAGACUGUCCUUACUGUUUCUCUCUGGGUUGAAAGUAGGAUGAGACUGUCAUUACUGUUUCUCUCUGGGUUGAAAGUAGGAUGAGACUGUCCUUACUGUUUCUCUCUGGGUUGAAGGUAGGGUGAGACUGUCAUUACUGUUUCUCUCUGGGUUGAAGGUAGGAUGAGACUGUCCUUACUGUUUCUCUCUGGGUUGAAGCUAGGAUGAGACUCAUUACUGUAUCUCCUCUCUGGGUUGAAAGUAGGAUGAGACUGUCAUUACUGUUUCUCUCUGGGUUGAAGGUAGGGUGAGACUGUCAUUACUGUUUCUCUCUGGGUUGAAGGUAGGGUGAGACUGUCAUUACUGUUUCUCUCUGGGUUGAAGGUAGGAUGAGACUGUCAUUACUGUUUCUCUCUGGGUUGAAAGUAGGAUGAGACUGUCCUUACUGUUUCUCUCUGGGUUGAAGGUAGGAUGAGACUAAGGAGUUGGGAGUUAUUUUUGCUGUUGUCUUCAGUACUGAAGUCAGUCAGUUCUAUUAGCAGUAUAGAAGUAGUGAGACCUGUAAACGUGUCUUUGUCUGAGGGAAGAUACAUUACCUAAAAUCACUAUCGAUCAAUCGUACAUUUUCAUAAAAUGUAAAGUGUAUUAUAUAUAUUCAUUGGAUGGUUUCUCCUGAAGAUCUGACCAACAGUGGCUGGUUGCUGUGCAUUGUGGUUCACUGGCACUCAUUUUAAUUUUGUUGUCUCUGUGUGAAGUCUGGAAGGAAUUCCUCGGGUUUUGUUAGUCUCACAACACCGUUAACCUGUUGUUGGCUAAUAAAAUAAUGUCAGAAAAACA
Molecule: long non-coding RNA, 3164 nt
Organism: Oncorhynchus kisutch (coho salmon)
Lineage: Eukaryota; Metazoa; Chordata; Actinopteri; Salmoniformes; Salmonidae
Exons: 2
Source: RefSeq, a predicted model, not a curated record